RNAcentral lists this transfer RNA (71 nucleotides) under Actinomycetota bacterium. RNAcentral describes it as "tRNA-Gly". It matches the Rfam family "tRNA". Rfam says of the family: Transfer RNA (tRNA) molecules are approximately 80 nucleotides in length. RNAcentral also lists the same sequence under 1 other name. The record is from RNAcentral. Lineage: Bacteria; Bacillati; Actinomycetota.
GCGGGCGUGAUGUAACGGCAGCAUCCGACCCUUCCAAGGUCGUCGCGCGGGUUCGAAUCCCGCCGCCCGCU